AUGCCGCCGCCCCCUUUCUCCCCACUCUCCUCUGCCGCCUCCUCUCAUUCCUUGCGCCUCCGGCCUCCUCCCUCCUCCCUCUUCCUCCCUCCUCUCUCAUUCCUCAUCACGGUAGACCAUCUCCCGUCACGUAGGCCCCAUGGUCGCAGCCGCGUCGGGGUGGAGGCGCAGCAGGUGUUGGUGGAGCGGGGGAUGUGGGCGGGCUCCCGUCGCUGCUCCAUGACGGUGGCCAGUUCAAUGGGUAGCGGCAGAAACCCGUGGCGAACUUGGGAGAGGAGAGGAAGGCAACGAUCUAGCCCAUGGCGUUCAACAGAGAGUGAUGGGGACGGCGGCACUGAGCAAAGAGAGAUGGCGGCGAAGGUGGCAGUGGUGCUGAGUAGAGAGAGAUGA
Molecule: ribosomal RNA, 390 nt
Filed under: Triticum aestivum (bread wheat)
Lineage: Eukaryota; Viridiplantae; Streptophyta; Magnoliopsida; Poales; Poaceae
Description: partial small subunit ribosomal RNA
Source: RNAcentral